Molecule: ribosomal RNA, 438 nt
Filed under: uncultured bacterium
Lineage: Bacteria
Description: partial 16S ribosomal RNA
Rfam family: Bacterial small subunit ribosomal RNA
Source: RNAcentral
AACGAACGCUGGCGGCAUGCCUAACACAUGCAAGUCGAACGAGACCUUCGGGUCUAGUGGCGCACGGGUGCGUAACGCGUGGGAACCUGCCCUUAGGUUCGGAAUAACUCCCCGAAAGGGGUGCUAAUACCGGAUAAUGUCUUCGGACCAAAGAUUUAUCGCCUUUGGAUGGGCCCGCGUUGGAUUAGCUAGUUGGUAGGGUAAAAGCCUACCAAGGCGACGAUCCAUAGCUGGUCUGAGAGGAUGAUCAGCCACACUGGGACUGAGACACGGCCCAGACUCCUACGGGAGGCAGCAGUGGGGAAUAUUGGACAAUGGGCGGAAGCCUGAUGCAGCAACGCCGCGUGCGGGAUGACGGCCUUCGGGUUGUAAACCGCUUUCGCCUGUGACGAAGCGUGAGUGACGGUAAUGGGUAAAGAAGCACCGGCUAACUACGUG